This 479-nucleotide ribosomal RNA is filed under the name uncultured bacterium. RNAcentral describes it as "bacterial SSU rRNA". It matches the Rfam family "Bacterial small subunit ribosomal RNA", at positions 28 to 496 of the family's 1533-position model. The record is from RNAcentral.
GAUGAACGCUAGCUACAGGCUUAACACAUGCAAGUCGAGGGGAAACGAUAUUGGAAGCUUGCUUCCGAUAGGCGUCGACCGGCGCACGGGUGAGUAACGCGUAUCCAACCUGCCCAUCACUUGGGGAUAACCUUGCGAAAGUAAGACUAAUACCCAAUGACGUCUCUAGAAGACAUCUGAAAGAGAUUAAAGAUUUAUCGGUGAUGGAUGGGGAUGCGUCUGAUUAGCUUGUUGGCGGGGUAACGGCCCACCAAGGCGACGAUCAGUAGGGGUUCUGAGAGGAAGGUCCCCCACAUUGGAACUGAGACACGGUCCAAACUCCUACGGGAGGCAGCAGUGAGGAAUAUUGGUCAAUGGACGAGAGUCUGAACCAGCCAAGUAGCGUGCAGGAAGACGGCCCUAUGGUUGUAAACUGCUUUAUAAGGGAAUAAAGUGAGUCUCGUGAGACUUUUUGCAUGUACCUUAUGAAUAAGGACCGG